Molecule: transfer RNA, 86 nt
Filed under: Acidimicrobiia bacterium
Lineage: Bacteria; Bacillati; Actinomycetota; Acidimicrobiia
Description: tRNA-Tyr
Rfam family: tRNA
About the family: Transfer RNA (tRNA) molecules are approximately 80 nucleotides in length.
Source: RNAcentral
GGGUCGGUGCCCGAGUGGCCAAUGGGAACGGGCUGUAAACCCGUCGGUUCACACCUACGGAGGUUCGAAUCCUCCUCGGCCCACCA